UAAUACCGCAUAGUAUCUGUGGAUUAAAGGUGGCUUUUGGGCUGUCGCAGAUGGAUGAGCCUGCGUUGGAUUAGCUAGUUGGUGGGGUAAGGGCCUACCAAGGCUACGAUCCAUAGCUGAUUUGAGAGGAUGAUCAGCCACAUUGGGACUGAGACACGGCCCAAACUCCUACGGGAGGCAGCAGUGGGGAAUAUUGGACAAUGGGGGUAACCCUGAUCCAGCAAUGUCGUGUGUGUGAAGAAGGCCUUAGGGUUGUAAAGCACUUUAGUUGGGGAGGAAAGCUUUGAGGUUAAUAGCCUUGAGGAAGGACGUUACCAAAAGAAUAAGCACCGGCUAACUCCGUGCCAGCAGCCGCGGUAAUACGGGGGGUGCAAGCGUUAACCGGAAUUACUGGGCGUAAAGGGUCUGUAGGUGGUUUGUUAAGUCAGAUGUGAAAGCCCAGGGCUCAACCUUGGAACUGCAUUUGAUACUGGCAAACUAGAGUACGGUAGAGGAAUGGGGAAUUUCUGGUGUAGCGGUGAAAUGCGUAGAGAUCAGAAGGAACACCAAUGGCGAAGGCAACAUUUUGGACCUGUACUGACACUGAGGGACGAAAGCGUGGGGAUCAAACAGGAUUAGAUACCCUGGUAGUCCACGCUGUAAACGAUGAAUACUAGCUGUUGGGGUCGGUGUAAAGGCUCUAGUGGCGCAGCUAACGCGAUAAGUAUUCCGCCUGGGGACUACGGCCGCAAGGCUAAAACUCAAAGGAAUUGACGGGGACCCGCACAAGCGGUGGAGCAUGUGGUUUAAUUCGAUGCAACGCGAAGAACCUUACCUGGUCUUGACAUCCUGCGAGCUUUCUAGAGAUAGAUUGGUGCCUUCGGGAACGCAGUGACAGGUGCUGCACGGCUGUCGUCAGCUCGUGUUGUGAAAUGUUGGGUUAAGUCCCGCAACGAGCGCAACCCCUAUUGAUAGUUACUGUCAUUAAGUUGGGUACUCUAUUGAAACUGCCGCUGAUAAGGCGGAGGAAGGUGGGGACGACGUCAAGUCAUCAUGGCCCUUACGACCAGGGCUACACACGUGCUACAAUGGGUAUUACAGAGGGCUGCGAAGGAGCGAUCU
RNAcentral lists this ribosomal RNA (1101 nucleotides) under Francisella endosymbiont of Haemaphysalis papuana. Its description in RNAcentral is "bacterial SSU rRNA". It matches the Rfam family "Bacterial small subunit ribosomal RNA", at positions 164 to 1263 of the family's 1533-position model. Lineage: Bacteria; Pseudomonadati; Pseudomonadota; Gammaproteobacteria; Thiotrichales; Francisellaceae. The record is from RNAcentral.